Molecule: transfer RNA, 69 nt
Filed under: Dasyornis broadbenti (rufous bristle-bird)
Lineage: Eukaryota; Metazoa; Chordata; Aves; Passeriformes; Dasyornithidae
Rfam family: tRNA
About the family: Transfer RNA (tRNA) molecules are approximately 80 nucleotides in length.
Source: Rfam by way of RNAcentral
GCUCUUCUAGUAUAGCUAUUACAAUGGACUUCCAAUCCCUAGACUUCGGUUCAAACCCGGAGAAGAGCA